AGCUUUGCGCAGUGGCAGUAUCGUAGCCAAUGAGNUUUAUCCGAGGCACGAUUAUUGCUAAUGGAAAACUUUUCCCAAUACCCCGCCAUGACAACUUGAAAUAUAGUCGGAACUGGCAAUAAAUAAUAAUAAUAAGAAUACUGUUUGAUAUUA
RNAcentral lists this small nuclear RNA (153 nucleotides) under Salvator merianae (Argentine black and white tegu). RNAcentral describes it as "U4 spliceosomal RNA (ENSSMRG00000016778.1)". It matches the Rfam family "U4 spliceosomal RNA". Rfam says of the family: U4 small nuclear RNA (U4 snRNA) is a component of the major U2-dependent spliceosome. The structure of U4 snRNA from yeast and human has been reported. U4 snRNA presents a k-turn RNA motif in the 5p-SL related to recognition of Snu13 protein. Lineage: Eukaryota; Metazoa; Chordata; Lepidosauria; Squamata; Teiidae. The record is from RNAcentral.